This 610-nucleotide long non-coding RNA is filed under the name Homo sapiens (human). RNAcentral describes it as "non-protein coding lnc-ZMYM3-1:3". The record is from RNAcentral. Lineage: Eukaryota; Metazoa; Chordata; Mammalia; Primates; Hominidae.
AGGAACAACUGCCUGUGAGCCUUGAACAAGCUACUUCCAUUUUCUGGCUCUUUAGUCUCCUCAUUUGUAAAAUGAGGGGGCUGGAGUAAGUAAGCUCUAUAAGGCUCUCAGCUGUGACAUCUAUGCAUAAUCACAGAAGAUCGAAGUGUACAGAACACCAUGGAAACUGAAGAGAGAUUCUGAAAGGAGGCUUUAAGAGGUCACUUGCAUCCAAUGCUGCAGAAGUGUCAGAGACUGAGGACUUAAAUGAAGCCACUGAUUAGCAAUUUAAAGAUCCUCUCCAAGGCAACGACUACGUGUAAAGUAAUGUGGACAGAGUCUUGGACAGAGAAAUGCCUCAGAAAUGUUUUGUGAUGAAGAUGAAGGAGAGGCGCUGGAAGCAGAAACUGGGGAGGGGGUAGGAUUCGUGUCUCCACUUACUCUCCACCCCAGCAGGGACAGAAAGCAUGCCUCCUCUUUCCUGUUCAUUGGCUACAUUCCUCUCUGAGGCCAGAGGGGCAAGCUGGACAAUGCAAAUGAACUUUGGAUGAGACUUAGCCAAGGGGCCUCCAAAGGGAGAGCAGCGGGGCUGCUUAGGAGGGAAUAAAAAAAUAAGGUGGUCACCUAUUUC